This 253-nucleotide ribosomal RNA is filed under the name uncultured bacterium. RNAcentral describes it as "partial 16S ribosomal RNA". It matches the Rfam family "Bacterial small subunit ribosomal RNA", at positions 524 to 776 of the family's 1533-position model. The record is from RNAcentral.
UACGAAGGGUGCAAGCGUUAUUCGGAAUUAUUGGGCGUAAAGGGCGCGUAGGCGGCUAGAUGUGUCAAAGGUGAAAUCCCUCGGCUCAACUGAGGAACUGCCUUUGAAACUGUCUGGCUUGAGGCCGGGAGAGGGUAGCGGAAUUCCCAGUGUAGCGGUGAAAUGCGUAGAUAUUGGGAGGAACACCAGUGGCGAAGGCGGCUACCUGGACCGGUUCUGACGCUGAGGCGCGAAAGCGUGGGUAGCAAACAGG